This 253-nucleotide ribosomal RNA is filed under the name uncultured microorganism. RNAcentral describes it as "partial 16S ribosomal RNA". It matches the Rfam family "Bacterial small subunit ribosomal RNA", at positions 524 to 776 of the family's 1533-position model. The record is from RNAcentral.
UACGUAGGGUGCGAGCGUUAAUCGGAUUUACUGGGCGUAAAGCGAGCGCAGGUGGUUUAAUAAGUCUGAUGUAAAAGGCAGUGGCUCAACCGUGGAGGGUCAUUGGAAACUGGGAGACUUGAGUGCAGAAGAGGAAAGUGGAAUUCCAUGUGUAGCGGUGAAAUGCGUAGAGAUAUGGAGGAACACCAGUGGCGAAGGCGACUUUCUGGUCUGUAACUGACACUGAGGCGCGAAAGCGUGGGGAGCAAACAGG